GGGUUGUGAGGUUAAGCGACUAAGCGUACACGGUGGAUGCCCUGGCAGUCAGAGGCGAUGAAGGACGUGCUAAUCUGCGAUAAGCGCCGGUAAGGUGAUAUGAACCGUUAUAACCGGCGAUUUCCGAAUGGGGAAACCCAGUGUGACUCGUCACACUAUCAUUAACUGAAUCCAUAGGUUAAUGAGGCGAACCGGGGGAACUGAAACAUCUAAGUACCCCGAGGAAAAGAAAUCAACCGAGAUUCCCCCAGUAGCGGCGAGCGAACGGGGAGGAGCCCAGAGCCUGAAUCAGCAUGUGUGUUAGUGGAAGCGUCUGGAAAGGCGCGCGAUACAGGGUGACAGCCCCGUACACAAAAGCGCAUAUGCUGUGAGCUCGAUGAGUAGGGCGGGACACGUGGUAUCCUGUCUGAAUAUGGGGGGACCAUCCUCCAAGGCUAAAUACUCCUGACUGACCGAUAGUGAACCAGUACCGUGAGGGAAAGGCGAAAAGAACCCCGGCGAGGGGAGUGAAAAAGAACCUGAAACCGUGUACGUACAAGCAGUGGGAGCCCCACCACUAAGCC
Molecule: ribosomal RNA, 563 nt
Filed under: Salmonella enterica subsp. enterica
Lineage: Bacteria; Pseudomonadati; Pseudomonadota; Gammaproteobacteria; Enterobacterales; Enterobacteriaceae
Description: partial 23S ribosomal RNA
Rfam family: Bacterial large subunit ribosomal RNA
Source: RNAcentral